GAUGAACGCUGGCGGCGUGCCUAAUACAUGCAAGUCGAGCGAACGGACGAGAAGCUUGCUUUUCUGAUGUUAGCGGCGGACGGGUGAGUAACACGUGGAUAACCUACCUAUAAGACUGGGAUAACUUCGGGAAACCGGAGCUAAUACCGGAUAAUAUUUUGAACCGCAUGGUUCAAAAGUGAAAGACGGUCUUGCUGUCACUUAUAGAUGGAUCCGCGCUGCAUUAGCUAGUUGGUAAGGUAACGGCUUACCAAGGCAACGAUGCAUAGCCGACCUGAGAGGGUGAUCGCCCACCCUGGAACUGAGACACGGUCCAGACUCCUACGGGAGGCAGCAGUAGGGAAUCUUCCGCAAUGGGCGAAAGCCUGACGGAGCAACGCCGCGUGAGUGAUGAAGGUCUUCGGAUCGUAAAACUCUGUUAUUAGGGAAGAACAUAUGUGUAAGUAACUGUGCACAUCUUGACGGUACCUAAUCAGAAAGCCACGGCUAACUACGUG
This 497-nucleotide ribosomal RNA is filed under the name uncultured bacterium. RNAcentral's name for it is "partial 16S ribosomal RNA". It matches the Rfam family "Bacterial small subunit ribosomal RNA", at positions 28 to 507 of the family's 1533-position model. The record is from RNAcentral.